AACAAGGAUUCCCCUAGUAACUGCGAGUGAAGAGGGAAGAGCUCAAAUUUUAAAUCUGGCGGUUUUCAAUCGUCCGAGUUGUAAUCUAGAGAAGCGUUUUCCGCGCUGGACCGUGUACAAGUCUCCUGGAAUGGAGCGUCAUAGAGGGUGAGAAUCCCGUCUCUGACACGGACUACCAGGGCUUUUGUGAUGCGCUCUCGACGAGUCGAGUUGUUUGGGAAUGCAGCUCAAAUUGGGUGGUAAAUUCCAUCUAAAGCUAAAUAUAGGCGAGAGACCGAUAGCGAACAAGUACCGUGAGGGAAAGAUGAAAAGAACUUUGGAAAGAGAGUUAAACAGUACGUGAAAUUGCUGAAAGGGAAACGCUUGAAGUCAGUCGCGUUGGUCGGGAGUCAGCCAUGCAUUUUUGUUUGGUGUAUUUCCUGAUUGACGGGUCAGCAUCAGUUUUGGCUGUUGGAUAAAGGUCGAGGUGAAUGUGGCACCCUUCGGGGUGUGUUAUAGCUCUCGAUCACAUACAACGGCUGGGACUGAGGAACUCGGCACGACUUUAUGUUUGUGCUUAGGAUGCUGGCAUAAUGGCUUUAAGCGACCCGUCUUGAAACACGGACCAAGGAGUCUAACAUGCCUGCGAGUGUUUGGGUGUUUAAAACCCGAGCGCGUAAUGAAAGUGAAAGUUGAGACCUCUGUCGUGGAGGGCAUCGACGCCCGGACCGGAGCUUUUGUGAUGGAUCUGCGGUAGAGCAUGUAGUUGGGACCCGAAAGAUGGUGAACUAUGCCUGAAUAGGGUGAAGCCAGAGGAAACUCUGGUGGAGGCUCGUAGCGAUUCUGACGUGCAAAUCGAUCGUCGAAUUUGGG
Molecule: ribosomal RNA, 852 nt
Filed under: Pseudomerulius aureus
Lineage: Eukaryota; Fungi; Basidiomycota; Agaricomycetes; Boletales; Tapinellaceae
Description: eukaryotic LSU rRNA
Rfam family: Eukaryotic large subunit ribosomal RNA
Source: RNAcentral